RNAcentral lists this ribosomal RNA (1251 nucleotides) under Paulownia witches'-broom phytoplasma. RNAcentral's name for it is "bacterial SSU rRNA". It matches the Rfam family "Bacterial small subunit ribosomal RNA", at positions 151 to 1402 of the family's 1533-position model. The record is from RNAcentral. Lineage: Bacteria; Bacillati; Mycoplasmatota; Mollicutes; Acholeplasmatales; Acholeplasmataceae.
UGGAAACGACUGCUAAGACUGGAUAGGAGACAAGAAGGCAUCUUCUUGUUUUUAAAAGACCUAGCAAUAGGUAUGCUUAGGGAGGAGCUUGCGUCACAUUAGUUAGUUGGUGGGGUAAAGGCCUACCAAGACUAUGAUGUGUAGCCGGGCUGAGAGGUUGAACGGCCACAUUGGGACUGAGACACGGCCCAAACUCCUACGGGAGGCAGCAGUAGGGAAUUUUCGGCAAUGGAGGAAACUCUGACCGAGCAACGCCGCGUGAACGAUGAAGUAUUUCGGUACGUAAAGUUCUUUUAUUAAGGAAGAAUAAAUGAUGGAAAAAUCAUUCUGACGGUACCUAAUGAAUAAGCCCCGGCUAACUAUGUGCCAGCAGCCGCGGUAAUACAUAGGGGGCAAGCGUUAUCCGGAAUUAUUGGGCGUAAAGGGUGCGUAGGCGGUUAAAUAAGUUUAUGGUCUAAGUGCAAUGCUCAACAUUGUGAUGCUAUAAAAACUGUUUAGCUAGAGUAAGAUAGAGGCAAGUGGAAUUCCAUGUGUAGUGGUAAAAUGCGUAAAUAUAUGGAGGAACACCAGUAGCGAAGGCGGCUUGCUGGGUCUUUACUGACGCUGAGGCACGAAAGCGUGGGGAGCAAACAGGAUUAGAUACCCUGGUAGUCCACGCCGUAAACGAUGAGUACUAAACGUUGGUUAAAACCAGUGUUGAAGUUAACACAUUAAGUACUCCGCCUGAGUAGUACGUACGCAAGUAUGAAACUUAAAGGAAUUGACGGGACUCCGCACAAGCGGUGGAUCAUGUUGUUUAAUUCGAAGGUACCCGAAAAACCUCACCAGGUCUUGACAUGCUUCUGCAAAGCUGUAGAAACACAGUGGAGGUUAUCAGUUGCACAGGUGGUGCAUGGUUGUCGUCAGCUCGUGUCGUGAGAUGUUGGGUUAAGUCCCGCAACGAGCGCAACCCUUAUUGUUAGUUACCAGCACGUAAUGGUGGGGACUUUAGCAAGACUGCCAGUGAUAAAUUGGAGGAAGGUGGGGACGACGUCAAAUCAUCAUGCCCCUUAUGACCUGGGCUACAAACGUGAUACAAUGGCUGUUACAAAGGGUAGCUGAAGCGCAAGUUUUUGGCGAAUCUCAAAAAAACAGUCUCAGUUCGGAUUGAAGUCUGCAACUCGACUUCAUGAAGUUGGAAUCGCUAGUAAUCGCGAAUCAGCAUGUCGCGGUGAAUACGUUCUCGGGGUUUGUACACACCGCCCGUCAAAC